This 465-nucleotide ribosomal RNA is filed under the name Vreelandella stevensii. Its description in RNAcentral is "partial 16S ribosomal RNA". It matches the Rfam family "Bacterial small subunit ribosomal RNA", at positions 338 to 795 of the family's 1533-position model. Lineage: Bacteria; Pseudomonadati; Pseudomonadota; Gammaproteobacteria; Oceanospirillales; Halomonadaceae. The record is from RNAcentral.
CCUACGGGGGGCAGCAGUGGGGAAUAUUGGACAAUGGGGGCAACCCUGAUCCAGCCAUGCCGCGUGUGUGAAGAAGGCCCUCGGGUUGUAAAGCACUUUCAGUGAGGAAGAACGCCUGGUGGUUAAUACCCAUCAGGAAAGACAUCACUCACAGAAGAAGCACCGGCUAACUCCGUGCCAGCAGCCGCGGUAAUACGGAGGGUGCGAGCGUUAAUCGGAAUUACUGGGCGUAAAGCGCGCGUAGGUGGCUUGAUAAGCCGGUUGUGAAAGCCCCGGGCUCAACCUGGGAACGGCAUCCGGAACUGUCAAGCUAGAGUGCAGGUGAGGAAGGUAGAAUUCCCGGUGUAGCGGUGAAAUGCGUAGAGAUCGGGAGGAAUACCAGUGGCGAAGGCGGCCUUCUGGACUGACACUGACACUGAGGUGCGAAAGCGUGGGUAGCAAACAGGAUUAGAUACCCUAGUAGUC